UGCGUAGGCGGGCCGGUCAGUCGGGUGUGAAAACUCACGGCUUAACCGUGGGCUUGCAUUCGAAACUGCCAGUCUUGAGUACGGGAGAGGGAAGUGGAAUUCCUGGUGUAGCGGUGAAAUGCGUAGAUAUCAGGAGGAACACCUGUGGCGAAGGCGGCUUCCUGGACCGAUACUGACGCUGAGGCACGAAGGCCGGGGGAGCAAACA
Molecule: ribosomal RNA, 207 nt
Filed under: uncultured bacterium
Lineage: Bacteria
Description: partial 16S ribosomal RNA
Rfam family: Bacterial small subunit ribosomal RNA
Source: RNAcentral